Agelaius phoeniceus (red-winged blackbird) is the source of this 1183-nucleotide non-coding RNA. NCBI's taxonomy places the organism in Eukaryota, Metazoa, Chordata, Aves, Passeriformes, Icteridae. The record is from RefSeq and is a predicted model, not a curated record.
CGGCAGGGCCCGCUCGGAAGGAUGCGCGGCUCGGAAGGAUGCGCGGCUCGGAAGGACGCGCUGCGCGUCCAGAUACAAUUGUCUCCUCCAGCUGCUGAGCUACUUUAGACUACGUUGUCAUCUGCUUCUUCAGGCACUAAAGACAAGAAGACUCUCACAGAGGUAGAGAUAUUUCACAGGAUGGAGAGAGAUUGCUCCACUUCAUGCAGCAGAACCCAGAAGUUCUACACCAGGUCACUCAGAGCAUGCUGGAGAGAUGUGGCCAAAGCUCUGCACUGCAAAGGGGCCUCCAAUCCCAAGGGUGUGGAUAUGAUUUGACAAGGACUUUGGAAACGGAGAACUGACUGAUAAACCCUCUUGGAAAGUGCCAGGACCCUGUUAUAUUGUUAGAGAGAUUUUUUACUCUUGUGAAAACUAUUUUUAAGAUAUUUUCUUCAUUUUUCUAUCUCUAGCCUAAAUGUAAGGAUUUAUAAUAGUGAAAACAAUGGAAAACCAGCCUUACUUUGAAGAAUGUUUUCAGCAUUUCUUAUCAAAAUUUAUAAUCCUGUUGUUUUCGCUUUAUGAAACAGUGUAAAAAUAGUGUAUAACUAGAGAAAAAAGGAUAUGUGUUCCUUCUGAAUUUGUGUCAGUUCACGAUUCUCAGUUCUGUACAUAAUAGUAAAUAAUAUCUCAUCAGUUCAAACCUCUAAGCUCACUCUAGAAGACACAUUUGUUUGAAAAUGAGAUGAAAGCCAGUACAAACUUUAUAUGACACCUUUUCAAACUAUUUUUCUGCAAUAUGUUCUAUAUUUCUUUGUAGCACAGGUGGUUAAUGACAAUGAGGACCACAAAGAAGACUGAAAACAAGCAUUUUUAGGCUAUAAGUAUAGCAAGAAAAUUGAAUGUUGCACAGAGUGGAAUAAGAGAGGAUGGAGCAUGACUUAGUGAAGUACUGAUGUGUUAUUUCACAAGAACACAUUUUCCAGGUCUUUAGAAUCAGGAAAAAAAGAACCACAGAAAAAAAUGGUGUUAAAGCCCUUUACAAAGCAUAAAGUUUAUCCAAAACUGCAGAAAAAAAAAAAAAGAGACUUACACUGGGGAGCAGUGGGUGUCCUGUGCUGGGCAGGAGGGGCUCUGCUGGCUGGGGAGAUGCAAAAUGAAUUGAAGGAAGACCUAAUAAAAAUCAGAACCUCUUAAACCAUAA